AAGCUCGUAGUUGAAUUUCGGGGUUAGUAGGUUGGUCAUGCCUCUGGUAUGUACUGGUCUCACUGAUUCCUCCUUCCUUAUGAACCGUAAUGCCAUUAAUUUGGUGUUGCGGGGAAUUUGGACUGUUACUUUGAAAAAAUUAGAGUGUUUAAAGCAAGCUAACGCUUGAAUACAUUAGCAUGGAAUAGUGAAAUAGGACGUUCGAUCUUAUUUUGUUGGUUUCUAGGAUUGACGUAAUGAUUAAUAGGGAUAGUUGGG
RNAcentral lists this ribosomal RNA (258 nucleotides) under uncultured Glomus. Its description in RNAcentral is "partial 18S ribosomal RNA". It matches the Rfam family "Eukaryotic small subunit ribosomal RNA", at positions 624 to 886 of the family's 1831-position model. The record is from RNAcentral. Lineage: Eukaryota; Fungi; Glomeromycota; Glomeromycetes; Glomerales; Glomeraceae.